AUGGCAGCACCUGUCUGAGUAAUGGCGUUGGGGCAUGAGUCGCGGAUGCGCCUCUAGCCAAAUAUUAAAGGAAGGAAGGAAGGAAGGAAUCAGAGAGGUUAGGAGAGGAUAUCACUUUGCAUCUGUACAAUGCGAGGCUUCUCCAGGAAGCGACCACCAGGUGCCGGCCGCCCCGAAUCAACCCCACGAGGAAGAGCGGAGAGGACGUCACUUCCUGCACCCGUGUAUAUCGGUCGCACUCAGAGAGAGGGAAGGAGCAGAUAGGCACAAGUUAGCAGUUGCAGAGUCUUCGCUGAACAGAUUUCCCAGUAGAUCGGGAGCAGCCGCACGUUGGAUAUUCGCGACCACGUCACCCCCGCAGUGCAGAGCAAAAGAACAAACCAAGUAUCACGGUCCUGCUGGUUUCUUGGCCAAGCCAGCUGCGCACAAACACACUCACGAAAUUUUGCUCACCACUAACCUCAUCGCUAACUGGUGGAUAGUGCUGCACAGCAACAACAGUUUUCCUUUCUACUAACAACUAGUACUAACAAAAGCUGUCAUCUGAAAAAAAGCGUCGACCAGAAGCAACUGUGCAGACUCAACUUCUCCCAACACUCCAAUAUACAGCACAUGUCAUACUAUGUGGUAUAACUUUGGAGGUUAGAAGAGUAAGUAUGUAGCAGCAAAAAUUAUAAAUACAAAUGCAACCAAUCUUGCAGACAGCUGCAGAAGGCAGCUAUCCACUCACUAUUAGUCUGCACAGCCACGACUUGAAGAUAACCAGAGGAAGAGAAAAUUUGCUCUUGACAAGCAGCGCUGUAACUUGCCACUGACUCACUAUAGAAAGCUGUCAUACAGGCAAACUGACAAAAAGUACAUGAUGUGCUGUACUGCUGUCACCAUUGAGGAGCUGUCAUCUAUCAAAGGCUUAUUUUAGAGAAACUGUCAGUUACUGAUAUUUUGGAUUUAAAUGAAAAAGAGGUCGAUAUUUUUCAAGAUUUACCACUUAAAACUCAAACAAAACGAAGCAGUAGAAACAAAGUUAAUUAACGCCUCAACAUAUAGAAGAUGUAGGAGCUAAGACAAACACAUCACAAAAAGGGAAAGUUGAUUUAUUACAAGCGGAUGAACUUUAUGAUAAUAAUAAUCCUUUGCAAUUUAGAUCUCAGGAAGUUAAUAUGCAAAGUAACAGUACAAAAUUAUUUAACUUUUUAUUAAUAAUAGAAAGAGGAUAAAUAUAUAUGUUGCAGCAAAACUUGCGGGUGGGUAUGCAACAACCUUUGCAGAUAGCUGCAGAAGGCAGCUAUCCACUCAAACUACUGGUCUGCACAGCCAUGACUUGAAGACCACCAGAGGAAAAGAGAAAUGUGAGUCUGUAAGACAGCGUUGACAACUGCUGUUGACUCACUGCAGAGAGCUAUUAUAAGACACUAUUUCACUCUAAUAAUGGCUAAUAUCUUGGCUCAGUGAGUCAAGAUGCAUUCAACAUAACUAAUUCUCUUGUGUGCAGUGCAGGCAAACUAGCCGGAUGUGAUUAUAAAAUCAUAUUUCAAAUAAAAUUACGAAAGUUUUGCAAUAAAUUAAAUGCAGCUAUUAUGGCUGGUUUAUAGCAGAUCAAUACCAAGAUUUGUGGCAACAUAAAUGUUUUGAAGGAUAUGAUGAGACGGUUGAUGUCCUAAGAAUUGAUGAGAAUUCUGUAGUCACUAUUGUACAAAACAAUGAAACUCAAAGUGCAGAGGCAUCACCAUCUUAGUAUUUUGAUACUGACUUUGAUGAAAAUCUCAUAAUGGCAGUUAUGGAAAGGCCAUUAUUAUACAACUAUAAAUUAAACAUAAAAGAAAGAUCAACGUUGAAAAAAUCAGCAUGGGAAGAAAUUCAAAAACAUAAUUGGUGGUAAUAAGAGCAUCAAAGAUUUACAAAAAAGAUGGAAAUACCAUCGUGACUGUUACAUUAGAGCUAGAAGAAAAGUAAAAGAAUAUGUGCCAAGUGGAUCUGCCGCAUCUUCUGCAAACUUUAAAUGUAGCUAUAGAUUCUAUGAAUUAAUGAGACUAUUGGAUAACGUACUUGAAAUAAAAUCAACAGUUAAUAUAUUGUCAAAUAAAGAUGAAGGAUCUUAAAAAAAAAAAAACUCUCUUUUAUAUCCACAGAUCAAAAUUCUGAACCAAGUUUUGCUACGCUCAAUAUAGGGAAUACUGGAACAAAUUACUCACAGAUUGAUUCGUCUAACGUAUCUUCACAAAUACCAACUCCGAAUGAAAUACUUGCAUCUGAAACCGUGACUUCGAAAUCCAUUAGAAAAUACAAAUCGUACAAUUGUUCAUUAGAAUUCGAAGCGGCUGUACUAAAUAUUUUGAAGACGCCAAUUCCAGAGACGGAUGCUGUAGACGGUUUUUUAAAGACUUUGGGAGAAGCUUUGCCUUAUCAGAAGAGAAUUAGGAUGGAAAUAAAAUUCCUUCGAAUGAUUAUAUAAGCUGAAUCAGAAGAAACAGAGUAACAUGUAUUGACUUUAUUUUUAUUAUCUUAUAAUAUGGUACAUUAUUUACACUAUUGCAAUAUAUGGUAAUUAUUUAUACUAUUGUAAUAUGAUUACCAAAAAUUAGUACCUGAAAGUAUUACUAUUAUUUUUGAAAGUAUUAAAUAAGCUAUUAUAUUGACUAAACUUAUAAUUGAUACUUAAGUGAGUAGAUACACUUUAUCGUAAGAUGAGUUUUGUUUAAAACUAUUUUGUGUGUUAUCUCAUAAUCUAAGUUACCUAAUAGUCUAGUUAUUUUAUCAUAAAACAUUAUAGUAUUAUUUACACUGUUGCAAUAUUAUAUAAAGAAAAGUAGUAUUAUUAAGUUUAUUAUUAUUGAAAGUAUUAUUAUUAAGUUUUGAAACUAUUAAAUAAUUCAGUAAAUACUAAGCAACACUUAUAUAACUAUAUAAUUAUAUCUAUAUAACAUCUGUAAUAAUUUUCCAUUCAACAAUAUAAAUGCAAUGUAGGACAUAUAUAAAAAUGUUAUGUAACAUUUAUAUUGUUGAAUAGGAAAUUAUCACGUUAUUAUGUAACCGUUGCUCGGUAUUUACUAAAAAGUUAUUAUACUGUUUACUUGUAAAUAAUACUAAGCGUCCACAGACUAUACAUUUUAUAGCAUAAUAAUUUUAUUUAAAAUAGUAUUCUAUAAAGUUAGAUUCUAUGAAGAUUCUAAAAAGUUGUCUUCAUAUAUAAAAUGUUAAACAUGUUGAAACGAUAAUAAAAGUUUAUUAUUAUAACUUA
Molecule: RNA transcript, 3238 nt
Organism: Odontomachus brunneus
Lineage: Eukaryota; Metazoa; Arthropoda; Insecta; Hymenoptera; Formicidae
Exons: 11
Source: RefSeq, a predicted model, not a curated record